This is a non-coding RNA of Elaeis guineensis (African oil palm), 1610 nucleotides long. The record is from RefSeq and is a predicted model, not a curated record. NCBI's taxonomy places the organism in Eukaryota, Viridiplantae, Streptophyta, Magnoliopsida, Arecales, Arecaceae.
CAUCUUUUCUUUUAAUUUUUUUUCCUUUCUUCUUCGUCUAUUUCUCUUCCUCCAUGGGGCUUCCUUAUCCAAAAAAAUAUUUGUUUGGCCAUCUCAAACUACGCAAAAUCUGUGGUACCCAGUCUUAGGCUCAAGAACGCUGCGCUAUCGUCUCUCUUCAAUGCCUCACUUCCUCCCAUCUCAAACCCUUUGGAAUUUGGUAACAAGUCCUUCCUCCCCCAUUCCCUAGCUUUCCUUUUCCCUUUCGAAAGCCCUGUUUAUCUUCCCCAAUCUCUGAUAAAGACUCGUUUUUUUACCAGCAUUUCUUGGAUUUUCUUCUGCUGUUCAUGGAAAACUACCUUUUUUUCCCAGUAGAAAUAGAGCUGUGAACUGUCCAAGAUCGGAUUUUUCCCUGUGGGUUUUCCUCCCUUUACCAUUCCAUGGCUUCCUCGGUGCUUAAUGGAGCGGAGAACCUUACUCUCUCUAGGGGAAGAGCCCCCAGUGGACUGGGCUUCUUGGAGUCGUCUCUACAUGGAAGAUGCCUCCCAAAGAUGGGAAUGGUGCCCUUCAAUGGGAAUUCUAGGGCUAGAACCAUGGUACCCAAAUGUAGCCUCUCAUCUUCUAGGCCGGCCAACCAGCCCAGGUUCAUUCAGCACAAAAAGGAGAUCAUAUUUGCUCUCCUGAAUUCAAAGAAUAUCUUACCAGGUUCAAAGGAAUGAUACUCACCUGCAAUGUUCUUGGUAUCAAUCAUUGUCCAUUUUGGUCCCAACAGCUGAUGGAAUCUGAAUCCGAAUCAAUCUGGGUCUGCUGCACUGCCAUCAUACUGUCAACAAAUGAGUUGGAGCCCUCUGUAGUUCUAUCAAAAUUCUGCGAGCAAAUGAUCCUAUGAUAAAUUUAAUAUUUACAUUUACUACCAAAGUAUGCCCAACACUGAGCUCUGCAAGAUUUUAACAUCUAAUAACAGUCCUCUAGAUCCUUGAGCAUCCUAGGAUACAUGUGCAGCCACUUUCAUCUCCAUCCUCUGCUCUCCAUAUUCUACUCUGGUUGUUUUAUGCCGUAUAAAAACCCUGUUGAAGCGUUGAAGCAUGCAACUUUCUGUCAGGGAGGCCAGCCUCACCAUUUCCAGCCUUUUUACAACAAAUCCCCGGGAAUUUAUAACAUAUUCCUUCGCUAUAAAGCUUAAAAAGUAAACUUUUGCAUGGAUAUAAUACUUGUAGCUAUAAGCUUUGAUGUUUAAAUUACAUGCACUGAUUUCCUGAUAUAAUGAAAGAAAACCAGGCGAUGAAAAAUAUCCUUAAGUUGAUAUGCUCGGUUGAUGUGAUGAACUGGAUUCUGGAAAGGACAGACACAUUCAUAUGUUAUAGAGUGGAAGAACAAGCAUAACCAGACUACUCUCAACAAAAUCCGAUUAAAGCCCGUCAAAAGCCAGACUUUUCCAUUGCCGUUUUGGCUGCUGCCGGUUGCCAGACCCUGCCGGUCGGUGUCGCCGGGGCCUGCUUCUCCGGUCAGGGUGGUGGACGGCUGGGGGGAGGGCCUCCUCAUCGGGAAUAAGGGGAGCAAGAGCUCCCUAUUUUGUAAAGAAAACAAAAGAGGAAGAGAAGGACGCACAGAUCCUCUCUUCUGUGAAGAAA